GACGAACGCUGGCGGCGUGCCUAAUACAUGCAAGUAGAACGCCGAAGGAGGAGCUUGCUUCUCUGGAUGAGUUGCGAACGGGUGAGUAACGCGUAGGUAACCUGCCUGGUAGCGGGGGAUAACUAUUGGAAACGAUAGCUAAUACCGCAUAAGAGUAGAUGUUGCAUGACAUUUGCUUAAAAGGUGCAAUUGCAUCACUACCAGAUGGACCUGCGUUGUAUUAGCUAGUUGGUGAGGUAACGGCUCACCAAGGCAACGAUACAUAGCCGACCUGAGAGGGUGAUCGGCCACACUGGGACUGAGACACGGCCCAGACUCCUACGGGAGGCAGCAGUAGGGAAUCUUCGGCAAUGGACGGAAGUCUGACCGAGCAACGCCGCGUGAGUGAAGAAGGUUUUCGGAUCGUAAAGCUCUGUUGUAAGAGAAGAACGAGUGUGAGAGUGGAAAGUUCACA
Molecule: ribosomal RNA, 454 nt
Filed under: Streptococcus mitis
Lineage: Bacteria; Bacillati; Bacillota; Bacilli; Lactobacillales; Streptococcaceae
Description: bacterial SSU rRNA
Rfam family: Bacterial small subunit ribosomal RNA
Source: RNAcentral